Molecule: ribosomal RNA, 253 nt
Filed under: uncultured bacterium
Lineage: Bacteria
Description: partial 16S ribosomal RNA
Rfam family: Bacterial small subunit ribosomal RNA
Source: RNAcentral
UACGUAGGGUGCAAGCGUUGUCCGGAAUUAUUGGGCCUAAAGCAUCCGUAGCCGGUCCUGCAAGUCUUCCGUUAAAUCCAGCUGCUCAACAGAUGGGCUGCGGAGGAUACUACAGGGCUAGGAGGCGGGAGAGGCAAGCGGUACUUUAUGGGUAGGGGUAAAAUCCGUUGAUCCAUAGAAGACCACCAGUGGCGAAGGCGGCUUGCCAGAACGCGCUCGACGGUGAGGGAUGAAAGCUGGGGGAGCAAACCGG